UACGGGGGGGGCAAGCGUUGUUCGGAAUUACUGGGCGUAAAGGGCUCGUAGGCGGCCAACUAAGUCAGACGUGAAAUCCCUCGGCUUAACCGGGGAACUGCAUCUGAUACUGGAUGGCUUGAGUUCGGGAGAGGGAUGCGGAAUUCCAGGUGUAGCGGUGAAAUGCGUAGAUAUCUGAAGGAACACCGGUGGCGAAGGCGGCAUCCUGGACCGGCAUUGACGCUGAGGCGCGAAAGCUAGGGGAGCAAACGGG
This 253-nucleotide ribosomal RNA is filed under the name uncultured bacterium. RNAcentral describes it as "partial 16S ribosomal RNA". It matches the Rfam family "Bacterial small subunit ribosomal RNA", at positions 524 to 776 of the family's 1533-position model. The record is from RNAcentral.